RNAcentral lists this transfer RNA (68 nucleotides) under Tribolium audax (American black flour beetle). RNAcentral's name for it is "tRNA-Asp". The record is from RNAcentral. Lineage: Eukaryota; Metazoa; Arthropoda; Insecta; Coleoptera; Tenebrionidae.
AAAAACUUAGUUAAAUUAAAUAACAUUAGUUUGUCGAACUAAAAUAAACAUAAAAAUGUUAGUUUUUU